GCCAGACUCCUACGGGAGGCAGCAGUGGGGAAUAUUGCACAAUGGGGGAAACCCUGAUGCAGCGACGCCGCGUGAGUGGAGAAGUAUUUCGGUAUGUAAAGCUCUAUCAGCAGGGAAGAAAAUGACGGUACCUGAUUAAGAAGCCCCGGCUAACUACGUGCCAGCAGCCGCGGUAAUACGUAGGGGGCAAGCGUUAUCCGGAUUUACUGGGUGUAAAGGGAGCGUAGACGGUGAUGCAAGUCAGAAGUGAAAGCCCGGGGCUCAACUCCGGGACUGCUUUUGAAACUGUGUGACUGGAGUGCAGGAGAGGUAAGCGGAAUUCCUGGUGUAGCGGUGAAAUGCGUAGAUAUCAGGAGGAACACCAGUGGCGAAGGCGGCUUACUGGACUGUAACUGACGUUGAGGCUCGAAAGCGUGGGGAGCAAACAGGAUUAGAUACCCUCGUA
Molecule: ribosomal RNA, 445 nt
Filed under: uncultured bacterium
Lineage: Bacteria
Description: bacterial SSU rRNA
Rfam family: Bacterial small subunit ribosomal RNA
Source: RNAcentral